UACGGAGGGUGCAAGCGUUAUCCGGAUUCACUGGGUUUAAAGGGUGCGUAGGCGGGUAUUUAAGUCAGUGGUGAAAGCUCCGAGCUUAACUUGGAAACUGCCAUUGAUACUGUAUAUCUUGAAUAUCGUAGAGGUUAGCGGAAUGUUGCAUGUAGCGGUGAAAUGCUUAGAUAUGUUACAGAACACCAAUUGCGAAGGCAGCUAACUAUGCGAUAAUUGACGCUGAGGCACGAAAGCGUGGGGAGCAAACAGG
RNAcentral lists this ribosomal RNA (253 nucleotides) under uncultured bacterium. Its description in RNAcentral is "partial 16S ribosomal RNA". It matches the Rfam family "Bacterial small subunit ribosomal RNA", at positions 524 to 776 of the family's 1533-position model. The record is from RNAcentral.